This 1529-nucleotide long non-coding RNA is filed under the name Gossypium barbadense (sea-island cotton). RNAcentral's name for it is "long non-coding RNA (GBAR_LNC015701)". The record is from RNAcentral. Lineage: Eukaryota; Viridiplantae; Streptophyta; Magnoliopsida; Malvales; Malvaceae.
CUCAAUUCACAUCCUAAUAAAUAAAAAUAAAUUAAAAUCAAACAAGAGAAAGCCUAAAAUCAAAAAAACCUUUCCCCUUCCCUUCUCAUUUGUAACUGCAUCUGUUGAAGAUUUUCUUCUGUUUGAGAACUUGGAACCCACAAGAUUUUGUGCUAAAAAAAUUCCUUCUAUUAACUGAGCUCCGCGGAGGCCUUGUUAUUUCUUAUUCGAACUCAGACCCUCAAAACUGUCGUCGACUCUAUAUCCUCAUUUUUCCUUUCUUUGUUCCUUUGUCUUUUUUGUUUAUUUUUUAGCUUUGUGAUUUUGGUGACUAUAGUUCCCAUAAAUAAGAAACCAAUGUUCUUUUUUGCGUUUUUGUGCCUUCAUUUCAUACCCCUUUUGAUCCUUCUGAAUGAAUGGUUCGUCCUCCCUCGAAGCUUCUUCCACCCAAAAGGUCGACAAAUCCCUUCCUCUUCCCCACACUGCCAUCGUAUGUGCUGCUUUAUUUGCUUCCCGAGGUAUGUGUCGAUACAUAAGACUUCUAAAGUUUCUUGCUUUGCUUAUCAUUUCAUUAAUAAUUCUUCCGAUAACUGACCGAUCAAUAUAAUCAUCAUUUUUUGGAAGCUUUUUGACGACAGUCAAUGAAUCUCCUUCUAAAAUGAUGUAUUGAAACCCUAGGUCUUCUGCGAAAGCUACUCCGUGAGGGCAUGCAUAGGCUUCUGUUAUUGUUGGAUCUCGUAUGUUCUCAAUCGGGUAGGUGCAUGAAGCAUUACAAAACCUUUGUUAUUUCUUACUAUAAUUCCAAAAACUGCCCUAUUAUUUGGCUUUUGAAAACUACUGUCAAAAUUAACUUUAACUUGGUCUUCUAAUGAGGGUUUCCAUUAUGGAUAUUAUAUUCUGUGGUUGCUUACAAGAAUAUUGUCCAACAUUUUAAUUUCAUUAAUAAAGGCUUUGAUGAAACUUAUGAUGUCGUUAAUACUUUUCGAACACCUUAAUGAUAAAACAAGUUUCUAUUGUGCCAAAUCGCCCAAAAUGAGAUUGCUAAGCAUAUUCUCUGUUCUAUAUUAUUUUACUUAAAAGUAUCGGCUAACCAAAAUUUCCACUCUGUGUUUUCACGCAUGGUUGUGAUUUGAAACAUCCAUUUUCUAGAGAACAAGCUUUGCAAUGUAACAAUCGCGGAAGACAUGUGCAGUUGAUUCUUUCUCUUCACCACAUGUCGAGCACAACACUUUGAAUCUGAGUUUUUGAAAUUUAAGAUUACUUAGAGUAGGCAUGAAAUUGUUUGUAAUCCGCCAUAGGUUGAUUUUAAUUUUGUUGGGAAUUUUUAGGCCCCAUAAUGCUGUAUAAUAAUUUUUCAUUUGGUCUGUCACUAUUGUAUUUUCAUUUCCCAGGAAAUUUAUAUCUCCUGUAAGACACCACUUGUAUCCACUCUUCAUUGUGUGUUCGUCAGUAUUGUCUCCCCGCCAGACUCUAGUGCCUUGCUACAAAGUGUUCCUCAGAGGGAUGGAUUGAAUCCUUUCUGUUUGGUCUUCAUCAAUUCUUAACACAUC